RNAcentral lists this ribosomal RNA (406 nucleotides) under uncultured bacterium. RNAcentral describes it as "partial 16S ribosomal RNA". It matches the Rfam family "Bacterial small subunit ribosomal RNA", at positions 30 to 526 of the family's 1533-position model. The record is from RNAcentral.
AUUGAACGCUGGCGGCAGGCUUAACACAUGCAAGUCGAGCGAGCGGCGGACGGGUGAGUAAUGUCUGGGAAACUGCCUGAUGGAGGGGGAUAACUACUGGAAACAGUAGCUAAUAACGCAUACCAUCAGAUGGGCCCAGAUUGGAUUAGCUAGUAGGUGUGGUAAUGGCUCACCUAGGCGACGAUCCAUAGCUGGUUUGAGAGGAUGACCAGCCACACUGGACCUGAGACACGGUCCAGACUCCUACGGGAGGCAGCAGUGGUGAAUAUUGUACAAUGGGCGCAAGCCUGAUGCAGCCAUCCCGCGUGUGUGUAGAAGGCCUUCGGGUUGUAAAGCACUUUCAGCGAGGAAGCGUUACUCGCAGAAGAAGCACCGGCUACCUCCGUGCCAGCAGCCGCGGUAAUAC